Molecule: unclassified non-coding RNA, 285 nt
Filed under: Ramophialophora sp.
Lineage: Eukaryota; Fungi; Ascomycota; Sordariomycetes; Sordariales
Description: partial contains 5.8S ribosomal RNA, internal transcribed spacer 2, and large subunit ribosomal RNA
Rfam family: 5.8S ribosomal RNA (bases 1-71)
Source: RNAcentral
GUGAGUCAUCGAAUCUUUGAACGCACAUUGCGCCCGCUAGUAUUCUGGCGGGCAUGCCUGUUCGAGCGUCAUUUCAACCAUCAAGCCCCCGGGCUUGCGUUGGGGCCCUGCGGCUGCCGCAGGCCCUGAAAAACAGUGGCGGGCUCGCUGUCACACCGAGCGUAGUAUUGUAUCUCGCUUUGGCCGUGCGGCGGGUGCCAGCCGUUAAACACCCCCCUUCCACAAGGUUGACCUCGGAUCAGGUAGGAAUACCCGCUGAACUUAAGCAUAUCAAUAAGCGGAGGA